This is a long non-coding RNA of Rhea pennata, 797 nucleotides long. RefSeq lists it as uncharacterized. NCBI's taxonomy places the organism in Eukaryota, Metazoa, Chordata, Aves, Rheiformes, Rheidae. The record is from RefSeq and is a predicted model, not a curated record. The transcript has 4 exons.
UGCAUGCGCGGUGCGAGCAGGGCGCGCCUGUGCCGGGGAGCGUGGAGGAGGCGGAGGAGGAAGAAAGGUCUUGUGACAUGUCAAUCAUCAGGUGGCAUUUUGAAUGGAAAAACAAAGCAAAUCCAUUGUCUGAUGAACAUGCAAGGAUGAUUUCACAGAAGUACUGUCAGAACAAGACAGAUGUGAAGUUUAGACUUUGAAACCUGUAGUUUCAUCAGUGUUCUCAAAAGGCCCUACAUGAAGACAUCCCCCUCAGUCACAGCAGAGCCUUCCUUCCCUUUCAUGCUAGCAGCCGCAGUGGAUGCUGCCUGAGCGUCCAGCGCAAGUCCAGCCACUUUCACGGGAUCCUCACUUGCAUGCACACUCAGCCCAUGUCUCUCCUCGAUCACGACAGUCUCCUGAACGACCUUCUUCACUGUCUCGUGCUGUGGCUGAGCUGCUGGCUUCGUUUCACUGGAACCUAUCUCCUGAGAUGUCUUUGUCUCUGUUCUCUGGAGGGAGAGAGGGAGAGAGAGAGAGAGAGAAAUAAAUCUCAAUUUCCAAAGUGGUUAUCCCUGCUUACUACAGUUCCUUAUCUUAAUGUACUGUAAAUGAAAAUAAAAACAGGGUAUUAAACUUUGCCAAUUUAUUUCUCUCAUGCUGUAUGGAUUUCCACUCUAAGGACAUUAUCACAAUAGUAGAAAAGAAAAGUAAAGCAAGAAUUACAAUUUUUAGAAGUGAAGAGAAAUGCCACAAUGGUUUUCUUACUGGUAUUACUGUGCUGUUUUUCUAAAGGCAAAAUACAACACCCUGUAUAG